ACCUGUGUUCGUGUCUGGCGCUGUUCGAAAUAAUUUUAAACGUGUGAUUAGUUUUGUGCGCGGUGUAGAAAAAGAUGUGGCCGUGCUUUGUGUAUUACUUGUGCCCCACUUGAAAGCAAAGCGUUCGUACGCACUGUAAGAUGGAUCCACGGAGGCUGAAACGAGCAGUUGCAACGUGCCCAGUGUCGGCGGUCGGUAGUACUGCCAUAAUGGAAAUAUUCAGGCAAGUGCCCGUUUAUUUGGUAUUUGUUUGGUGGGUUACGUGUUAUUGUUCGCUCUAGAAGUAUCUCACUGUGAUCUCGUAGCAUAUUUCACUAAUGUAAGUGCAAGAGCAGCUGCGCUCCUAGUAGGGCAAGUUAACUACCUCGAUCGCGUCCCGUGUGACAAGUUUGUCAAACCUAUAUCGGGCGUGGUGCGCCUGCAUACUUCCGCUUUGUUUCUCAGCGCUUGAACGUUCAUAGGUGUGAUUCUCUCGUGCGUUCAGCGCGGCUUCUUGUAAUACGGUCGUUCGCACUUAAGUGAAAUGUGGUCGACCACUUUUGCGUCGCGCAGAAAAAGGACGACUGGCUUUGCCACCUUUCGAAAGAAUCGGCGCGGUAUUGGUUAUCCCUGUUGCCGUCGCGUGCGGCUGUUGCUGCUUGCCGGAUGCCUUCAGCAUAUUUUAGGCUGGCUUGUACGUGUGUUUGUGCGCUCGCUCGCGCUCGGCUCUGUGUGUGUGUGUGUGUGUGUGUGUGUGCGCGCGUGUGCGCGUGUGCGUGCGCGUGUGUGUGUGUGUGUGUGCGUGUGUGUGCGUGUGUAUGUCCAUGUGUGUGCGUGCGUGCGCGCGCGUACAUGCAGGUUUGUAUGGGCCAGCGUGUUUGCGUGUGUCUUGUGCGUACGUGUUUUGUGAGCGUGUUUGUGUAUGCGUGCGUGUGCGCGCAUGUUUCUGUGUAAGUCGCGGUGUGUGCGUGCACGUGUUAGUGUGCCUGCCUGCAUGUAUGUGUGCUUGUUUGUGUUUAUCAAUGUGUGCGUGUGCGCGUAUCAAUGUGUGCGUGUGCGCGUGCGCGCUUUUGUGUCUGCGCUUUGACAGUGCGCAUAUUUGUGUGUGCGUGCGAGUGCGUUUUGUGUGCGUGCGUAUGUAUUGCAUAAGGUCGGUAGAGUUUUACUCGCAGUAAAACCCUUCCAAUUUGGUGCAGCGAGUGUUCCUGCCUGAAAGCCGAGCUUGGUUUGAAGCCACCCUGGACAACUGCUGUAUGAGGCCGUUUCUUGGAGGACCACUGGGAAGGCGUCAGGUCGUGCAGGUGAUAGCAGCAGUUUACCUAUGCCCAGCUUUGGUACCCUCCAUCAAGAGCGAUCCACUUGCGUUCGCCUUCGGACAGAUGUUUGAUGUCUUGGACGCAGUUGUGAAGACAAUAUUGAUGCAAGAUUCCAGCAUAGCCAUGUGUUGCAUUUAUUGGUCAAGAUGCUCAGAGAAUGGUGUCCCUGCACAUCGUGGUUAAACGUGAACAGUAUUAUUUUUUUCUUUUUGAAAGCUAAAUGCGUCUUGCUGCAUAAAUUGCAUUCUUGCAGCUCAAAUCUGUACCAUAUCUUUUUUAAUUUUGAAUCAAUUAAUUACACUGUUCAGUAUAUUUGUACUGUUUGAUACAACCAUUUCUUGCUGGCAAAUGGUAACAGUGUGAUAUUUAACAUGACUGCCUGUGCCUGUGUUUUUAGUAACCAGAGUAGGGCUGACUUAAUAAACCAUAUUUGCUCAUUUGCAUACUGAUAUGCUACAGCAAGCCGUAAUGUUGCAUUAGCGCAUCUAAGUGCAAAUAAUUUAGAAAUUUACAAUGUAUUUUAAAACACUGUCCACCGUUUGUGCUCAGCAAAAUAGCUUAAUCAACAGUGGUUUGUUUUUAUCAGGCCUCCAUUGAUACUGCACUUUGCACCUAGACAGUAGUAAAUGUGGAAUAUUCAGUCUUUUGUAUUAUAUUAAGAAAAGCACGCAUUUUCAAACUACAUAUUGUAUAAUAGACCAGUGCCUUCGGGUUACAAAACAAAAAUUUAAGGAAACCGGCAUUGUUACACAAUCUGCUACACAGCACUUUUAGCCCAGUGAACUCUCGUUUCCCAAAAGAAAAAAAAAACUAUUUACGCACUAAAAAAUUCUACAUAUUUUUUGUGCUCAAGUAAUCUUGUUGGAAAGAGAAAAUAAGCAAUAAUGCUCCUGGCUUAAACCUCAUUUAAAGCACGUCUAUGCUUGGAAAAUAUUGUUUCAAUCUCAAAAAUGUUGACCAGUUAUGCCUUACAUCGACUUUCUAAGCUUUUCAUAAUGCUUUGCCAUGACAUUGGUGUACAAAAUAACAGGUGUGUUUCUUGUGUUUGCUGAGAAUUUCAUUUACUUCCCUAAUUGACCUUUGCAAUGUCUCUUCUUUUUUUCAAGGCAUCAAAACUUUAUUUUCGUUCAUUGGAGCUUAAUACUGAAAAUUUAUCACUUGAUCUGGCCCAAAACACUGCAAGGUCAACUCAGGCUCUUUCAGUGCUGCUAUACAUAGUUUCUUCUCUAAUAAGAACAGAUUUGAUCAAUACAUAUAUUUUUAAAUACGUUUGUGGGAAAUGUACAUGUUGUGCUUACCAAUGUGUUUGGUGAUUGUGCAUGCUUAGAUUUCAUGUGAUUUAUGUAUAUCUUGUACUCUGUAUUGUAGCAUGCAAUAAAUACAUUUAUAUUUUUCGUGCAAA
Long non-coding RNA from Dermacentor andersoni, 2697 nucleotides. RefSeq lists it as uncharacterized. The record is from RefSeq and is a predicted model, not a curated record. NCBI's taxonomy places the organism in Eukaryota, Metazoa, Arthropoda, Arachnida, Ixodida, Ixodidae.